This is a non-coding RNA of Nitritalea halalkaliphila LW7, 172 nucleotides long. Lineage: Bacteria; Pseudomonadati; Bacteroidota; Cytophagia; Cytophagales; Cyclobacteriaceae. The record is from Rfam.
UCCACGGCGAGGUGGAAUCUGAAGGAAGCUGGCGGCAAAACUCCGCCCCGAUGAACACGAAUCUCAUCAGGCAUAUCCAACGGGAUGAGUCUGCCAUACAAGACAAAGUCCAAAGAUUACACGGACGUUCGCAUGUAGAUGAGGCGGGGACAUGGAGUGAAAGUGUGUUAGC